Molecule: ribosomal RNA, 376 nt
Filed under: uncultured bacterium
Lineage: Bacteria
Description: bacterial SSU rRNA
Rfam family: Bacterial small subunit ribosomal RNA
Source: RNAcentral
UACAGAGGGUGCAAGCGUUGUUCGGAAUUAUUGGGCGUAAAGCGCGUGUAGGCGGCUACGUAAGUUGGGUGUGAAAGCCCUCGGCUUAACCGAGGAAGUGCGCCCAAAACUGCGAGGCUUGAGUACCGGAGAGGAUGGCGGAAUUCCCGGUGUAGAGGUGAAAUUCGUAGAUAUCGGGAGGAACACCAGCGGCGAAGGCGGCCAUCUGGACGGAUACUGACGCUGAGACGCGAAAGCGUGGGGAGCAAACAGGAUUAGAUACCCUGGUAGUCCACGCCGUAAACGAUGAGCGCUAGGUGUUGUGGGUGUUGACCCCCGCAGUGCCGCAGCUAACGCAUUAAGCGCUCCGCCUGGGAAGUACGGCCGCAAGGCUAAA